AUGGUUCUUGAAAAGCGAUGAUAGUUGGGGAGAGGGAGUGGUUUAUGACAAAAUUGACCUCGAUGCGGAGAGGUUCCCCACUUCAGUUGCAGUGGGAAGAGAUGAUAGGGCAUACGUGGUAUAUGGGAGAGUGAUAGAGAGUAUAAUGGGAAAGGAGGGGAGGGAGUGGUUUGAUAUAGAGGAGGUGAAAUCAGAAAGGGAAAGAAAGGACGAGAAUGUUUGGGUUUUCGUUUUGAUUGGAUUGGGUUUGGCCUAUUUCUUCUUCUGGAGAUUUCAAAUGAAGCAGCUUGUGAAAAAUAUGUAUAAAAAAAAUAAUUAAAUUUUUCCUUUUUUUUUAUGAAUUUUAGAGUGUACAUUCUUUUUUUAACUUUCAAAACUGAACUUGGA
RNAcentral lists this unclassified non-coding RNA (387 nucleotides) under Hevea brasiliensis (rubber tree). The record is from RNAcentral. Lineage: Eukaryota; Viridiplantae; Streptophyta; Magnoliopsida; Malpighiales; Euphorbiaceae.